CCAAUAGCGUAUAUUAAAGUUGUUGCAGUUAAAAAGCUCGUAGUUGAAUUUCAGGCCUGGCUGGGCGGUCCGCCCUUCGGGUGAGUACUGCCUGUGGUCGGGUCCUACCUUCUGGCGAAGCGUCAUGGCCUUAACCGGCCGUGGCGGGGAACCAGGACUUUUACUGUGAAAAAAUUAGAGUGUUCAAAGCAGGCAAUCGCUUGGAUACAUUAGCAUGGAAUAAUGGAAUAGGACAAUGGUUCUAUUUGUUGGUUUCUAGGACCGUUGUAAUGAUUAAUAGGGAUAGUUGGGGGCAUUAGUAUUCAAUUGUCAGAGGUGAAAUUCUUGGAUUUAUUGAAGACUAACUACUGCGAAAGCAUUUGCCAAGGAUGUUUUCAUUAAUCAAGAACGAAAGUUAGGGGAUCGAAGACGAUCAGAUACCGUCGUAGUCUUAACCAUAAACUAUGCCGACUAGGAAUCGGGCGAUGUUGACAAAAUGACGCGCUCGGCACCUCAUG
RNAcentral lists this ribosomal RNA (497 nucleotides) under uncultured Paraglomus. Its description in RNAcentral is "SSU rRNA". It matches the Rfam family "Eukaryotic small subunit ribosomal RNA", at positions 591 to 1092 of the family's 1831-position model. The record is from RNAcentral. Lineage: Eukaryota; Fungi; Glomeromycota; Glomeromycetes; Paraglomerales; Paraglomeraceae. RNAcentral also lists the same sequence under 1 other name.